Canis lupus familiaris (dog) is the source of this 92-nucleotide non-coding RNA. The record is from Rfam. Lineage: Eukaryota; Metazoa; Chordata; Mammalia; Carnivora; Canidae.
GGGGGGAAAUCGGAUCCUGGGCUGUGUCCGCCGGCGCCCUGGGCUCCUAGGCCUGCGCUGUUGGAAUCGCGCUCCUGGCCGUGCAGCCCCCU